RNAcentral lists this ribosomal RNA (398 nucleotides) under uncultured bacterium. RNAcentral describes it as "bacterial SSU rRNA". It matches the Rfam family "Bacterial small subunit ribosomal RNA", at positions 29 to 433 of the family's 1533-position model. The record is from RNAcentral.
AUUGAACGCUGGCGGCAUGCUUUACACAUGCAAGUCGAACGGUAACAGGCCUUCGGGUGCUGACGAGUGGCGAACGGGUGAGUAAUGCAUCGGAACGUGCCCAAUCGUGGGGGAUAACGUAGCGAAAGUUACGCUAAUACCGCAUAAGCCCUGAGGGGGAAAGCAGGGGAUCGCAAGACCUUGCGCGAAUGGAGCGGCCGAUGUCAGAUUAGCUAGUUGGUGGGGUAAAGGCCUACCAAGGCGACGAUCUGUAGCGGGUCUGAGAGGAUGAUCCGCCACACUGGGACUGAGACACGGCCCAGACUCCUACGGGAGGCAGCAGUGGGGAAUUUUGGACAAUGGGCGCAAGCCUGAUCCAGCCAUGCCGCGUGCGGGACGAAGGCCUCGGUUGUAACCGC